GAUGAACGCUGGCGGCGUGCUUAACACAUGCAAGUCGAACGAUGAAGCCCAGCUUGCUGGGUGGAUUAGUGGCGAACGGGUGAGUAGCACGUGAGUAACCUGCCCUUGACUCUGGGAUAAGCCUGGGAAACUGGGUCUAAUACUGGAUAUGACUUCUCAUCGCAUGGUGGGGGGUGGAAAGAUUUAUUGGUCUUGGAUGGACUCGCGGCCUAUCAGCUUGUUGGUGAGGUAAUGGCUCACCAAGGCGACGACGGGUAGCCGGCCUGAGAGGGUGACCGGCCACACUGGGACUGAGACACGGCCCAGACUCCUACGGGAGGCAGCAGUGGGGAAUAUUGCACAAUGGGCGCAAGCCUGAUGCAGCGACGCCGCGUGAGGGAUGACGGCCUUCGGGUUGUAAACCUCUUUCAGUAGGGAAGAAGCGAGAGUGACGGUACCUGCAGAAGAAGCGCCGGCUAACUACGUG
RNAcentral lists this ribosomal RNA (466 nucleotides) under uncultured bacterium. Its description in RNAcentral is "partial 16S ribosomal RNA". It matches the Rfam family "Bacterial small subunit ribosomal RNA", at positions 28 to 507 of the family's 1533-position model. The record is from RNAcentral.